Long non-coding RNA from Talpa occidentalis (Iberian mole), 246 nucleotides. RefSeq lists it as uncharacterized. The record is from RefSeq and is a predicted model, not a curated record. The transcript is spliced from 3 exons. Lineage: Eukaryota; Metazoa; Chordata; Mammalia; Eulipotyphla; Talpidae.
AGUUCGCUUUGCGCCAGGAGGAGGCCAUGGCUUUGCCGCGGUUUCACGGGGCUCAGUUGCAGCCUUUGUCCUGUCUCACCGUGCUCCUCCUCCUUUCUAAUUGGAGAAGCAGUUCACAUUGACCUGGAACAUCAAGUUACCUGUGAUGACUACUUGUAAAAUAUGCCAAGAGAAUUUCAUCAGGCCAAAGAGAGAUGAAAGGUCAGAGCUUCAGAAAGAAAUGAAGAGGACCAGUAAAGGAAAAUA